GGAAUAUUGGUCAAUGGACGAGAGUCUGAACCAGCCAAGUAGCGUGCAGGAUGACGGCCCUAUGGGUUGUAAACUGCUUUUAUGCGGGGAUAAAGUGAGGGACGUGUCCCUUUUUGUAGGUACCGCAUGAAUAAGGACCGGCUAAUUCCGUGCCAGCAGCCGCGGUAAUACGGAAGGUCCGGGCGUUAUCCGGAUUUAUUGGGUUUAAAGGGAGCGCAGGCUGAUUGUUAAGCGUGACGUGAAAUGUAGCCGCUCAACGGCUGCACUGCGUCGCGAACUGGCAGUCUUGAGUGAGUACGACGUCAGCGGAAUUCGUGGUGUAGCGGUGAAAUGCUUAGAUAUCACGAAGAACCCCGAUUGCGAAGGCAGCUGACGAGUCCUUUACUGACGCUAAAGCUCGAAGGUGCGGGUAUCGAACA
Molecule: ribosomal RNA, 419 nt
Filed under: uncultured Prevotella sp.
Lineage: Bacteria; Pseudomonadati; Bacteroidota; Bacteroidia; Bacteroidales; Prevotellaceae
Description: bacterial SSU rRNA
Rfam family: Bacterial small subunit ribosomal RNA
Source: RNAcentral